This 235-nucleotide long non-coding RNA is filed under the name Carica papaya (papaya). RNAcentral describes it as "long non-coding RNA (CPAP_LNC008269)". The record is from RNAcentral. Lineage: Eukaryota; Viridiplantae; Streptophyta; Magnoliopsida; Brassicales; Caricaceae.
UACUAUAACUGCAGGAGCACUCAACAUUUUGUGAGAGAUUGCCCUUAGAGGCCAAAAAACAUGGCCAAACCUAUAGUCUAGGGACGUGUCUAUCAUCUCGAUGAGCCUAAUGUCCUUACCACUCCUGUUGUUAUUCAGAGCAUGCUUUCUAUCUAUGAUACCACUACCCGAGCUUUGAUUGAUAUAAGUGUUACCCACUCUUUCAUAUCUUAUUUUUCUACUUGUAAUUUAGAUA